AAGAUAUAUUGAAAAUCAACUAUCACGCUUGAAUUCCUGUCGAUCGAGUUUAUUUAGUUUAAAAAGAUCAUUCAACCCUAAUGCAAUCAAACAGAAUUAGGUCCACCAGAAAGAAGCAAGACCACGAAGUCAUUUUCGGGCUCGAAUAUUAUGUAGUACAUCAUUUAAAACUUUAAUUAUAAAAGUCUAGACAUUUACGCGUUGAGUUGGUGAUACAAGGUGAAACAAAAUGAUUUUAUACCAGGCUAGAAACAUCAAAGAUCUAAAGCUACGAGUUUAGGCAUAUCAAAAAGCUCGUGGUUCUUCCAAGCCCCAAUCAGCAAGGUUGGAAAUGAGAUGGGGAAAAUAAGACGCAGCUGGAUCUAGUAGGAAGUGUUUCAGGUGUGGAGACUCUUCACAUAUAAAGAGAGAUUGUCCGGUGAGGCAGAAAUGUUUUAGAUGUGAUCAGCCAGGACACCGAGCAGCACAGUGUAAUGCGCAUGAAAAAGUGAAGACAGAAGAACGUAGUUCAGUACAAAAAAGUCGUUUCAAAACCAUCACCCCAAUUUUCUUCGCAUUUCGAACAGAAUUUGGUGAUUUGCAUGAAUACUGUUUUUAAAGGACUUGUGGAUACAUGGGCUGACUUGUGUUUGAUGCCUGGGAGUGUGUUUUUAAAAUAGGCGUAGGCGUCUCCUUUAGAAAGGAAAGAUACAAUUUAAAAUUUUUCUAAAGUAAGGUAAUGGUAAAUGUUAAAUACAAUUUUUUCAAGGGAUAUUUUGGGGGAUACUAAAUGUAACAAGUAAUAAUAAUUCUUGCAUAUUUAUAGUAAUGUAGUUCAUGCUGUGCGUAAAUAUAUCUAUGUAGGAAACUGUAGAGAAUGUAGAGAACUGAAAAAUCGAUUUGUCCCAAAAGAGUUUGGCAAUCCAAAAUCCCGCGAAUACCCGCGGCCUUAUGCAUGAACACCACCCCAUUGCAAAUUCUGCGAUGGUGUAAAGCGGGUAGCUCCAGUAGUUUUAGGCUAGAUAGGUAUGGUGGAAGGAGUCUUUCAGAGUCGCAGUUCAGAUUACUAAGGGCGAAUAUUAUAAAUUGUUUUUGAGCGGAUUCAAUAUGAAUUUGUUGCGCCUUGGAUUAUGAACUCUACACACAAGAACAAUACUCCAAUAUCCAAUACUCCAAGCUAUAUACGUGUUGAUACACGUGAUACUACACGAGAGUCGAUACAUUACUUCUACAAUUUUACAUCCAUACAUACACAAACAGAUACCAUUUAACACCUGCGCCGUUUCGAGUGCAUAAUAAACCUCCAUAAUAUCAUAUAUACUGUGCCUCUUCAUUUCUGGACGCUUGGGUUUUCCGAGGAUUUAUCUGCAGCGACAGGAAGCCGCCCUCCUACAAACAAUACGGAUCGUCGAACUCUUUUACCCAACGCUUAAUAAACGCAAGCUUAGUUAAGCAUUGGAGAUUCGAUUCAGAACUAGGUGUCCUCGAAAAUAGGAAACAAAAUGUGGUGCACGGCGGGUAAAGUCAUAUGUUUGCACUUAGAAUGGUUCAAGAAAAGUAGGUUAUUUGAACACCAAAUGUUCAAUUCAUCCAGGUCAAGUUGUAGGCGAGUAUGCAAGUACCAGUCGGAAAAGGAAAAAAUAAAUUUUAACGCCAUCAGCAUACAUUAAAGUAACUGAGUGCAAAAUAACUUGGGGCAGAUCGUUUACAAACAAAUUUACCAGAAGCGGACCUAAAUGACUUCCUUGAGGAAAUCCAGAGAUUACUUUCACAACAUUCGACAAGACAUUGUUGAACAAAACACGCUGUGUGCGAUUCGACAGGUACGAUGAUAUCCAAUUUACAAGAUUUGUGGGUAAACAUAAUAAACAGAGUUUAUGGAUCAGCAAAGUAUGAUUAACAGAGUCAAAAGCUUUACUGGUCUUUAAAAAUUACGUCAGUCUGCAAGCCACUUUAAAAACCUCGGUUGAUUAGAGACAAGAAUUCUUAAAGGUUAGUAGAUGUUGAUCGAUGUCUAAAAAAACCAUGUUUGCGACGGGGAUAUUAUGCUAAAACAUGCGUGUUGCAAUUGACAAGUAACAAGGCGCACGAGCAGCUUCGGAAUGGCAGAUAGUUAAGCAAUACCACGGUAUUUUUCGAUAUUAGAUCUGGACCCUUUUAUGUGUAGAUGAAUACGGAAGGACUCAUUCCAGAUCAUGGGGAGGAGAGAAAGCUCCAGGGAUAAAUUAAAUAAGAAGGUCAAAGGACCCGCAGAGAAACAGAUGUCAAUUGAUGACAACCCUUCGAAGACUGUACUUUCUUCAAGGAAGGGAAGAAAUACGUUAUUAACAUAAGGUAGAUGGUAUAAAUAAGGGGUGGAGAAGUCAUAGGUUUUCGAGGAGUACGUCGAUUGAAAAAAAGGAGGCAAAUAAAUUUGCAUUACCUUGAGCUGAAGUUUCUGUUUUAUCCUGUAAAUGAAGGGAAGAAGAGAACGUGUAGAUUUACGUUUUGAGUUGACGAACGAAAAGAAUUUUUUGGGAUCAUUACGGAAAUUUGUUCCACAUUGGGAAGGAUAUAGGUUAUACAUUUUAUUAUUGACCGUACGAAAUUGAGAGCGAACCGAAGAAUAUUUUGUAGCGUGCAGGUGUGGGAUAUAUGUAUUUUACCAACACUAGUACAACGAGAUUUUGUGUGCACAUCUCGCCGGAUUGUCGUUCUACUCUCUCCUAUGUUUUGUACUGACACACAUUUGCACAAUGUUUUAGGUGCACAUAUCAAAAGAAUCAAAAAUGAAAAAAACACAGGUUGAACUGGACUGAGUGUAUGGAAAGUGGAUUAAUAAUUUGUUGUUGAGGAAGGGGGAUAAUUAUAUCAACUAGUCUAUUCGAAUCACGGGAAACUCAGGUGGCGUCGAGUAUCCCUCUUCUCUACCCUCCCAACCUAUGCUGUAUCGGUAAAUAGAACCGUAUAGACCCUAAAACAAUCAUGCAGUCUUCAUCCUACCACUUUGAUCCUGACGGACGUCAGAAUUCAGAACGUAUUAGAAAUGUGUUUCAAAAUAGAUGCUUUUAAAUAUACUUCCAUGAUUUUACAUCAGUAUAGUUCAAUAUUUUCCAAGUUUUCUUAACCUACAAAAAAAAUCAAAGAAUUUACGAAUAAAUGUAAAUAUAUGGUGGCGGU
RNAcentral lists this long non-coding RNA (3138 nucleotides) under Drosophila guanche. The record is from RNAcentral. Lineage: Eukaryota; Metazoa; Arthropoda; Insecta; Diptera; Drosophilidae.